UACAAGGCCCCUUCUUCCCCAAGGACAAGUAAACAGGAAGAGAGUCCAUGCUCUGACCUUUGUUGAAGUGCUAGAGCUCCAGGAUUCCAGCUUUUGGGAGCCAUCAUCCAUGCUGGGGUUUUUGGUGAUACAGCUGCCUUUGAGUUUUCUCUGAUCCUCAUAUAUCAAAGACCAGCAUCUCUUCAGGAACCUUCCAGGACUCCAGCACCAGAAUGGGACUGUAGAGACAUCCAAUCUCGUGGACUUGACAACUACCAGACUCUUUCCUUUCCACUGGGAGACUGCUGUUGUUGGACUAUCUGGACCACAGCCUAUCCAGGGAAAUAAUCAUAGAAUGGAAUUGGGGACCUAUGGGCUCACAGUGAGAUGGACCAGACCGGACACUCUGUGGAUCUCCUUACCUGUGUUUCCAGAGAGGUCUAACCCAGCAGGAGUGAGUACCUUCCAGCAGGUGAGCCAGUACAAAAAAGCCUAAAGAAAAAGCAGUGUUGGCUGCCUGCCUUCCCUUGGUCUGGAGCCAGUGCCUGGCUCUGCUGCCACUGUCCUCUUCUGACAUCAGACUCAAGCUUCUUCAGCCUUCUUCCAACACGAACUGAACACUAGUGACUCUCCAGGAAUCUUCCAGACCUUCGGCACCAGGUUGGGACUGCUGAGGUGAUCAACUUUGUGGACUAAACAGCAUCUCUAGUGUCAUUUCUCCAAUUCUGCGAGAUGUUAAGAAUCUGCUUGUCUGACACCCAGAGAGAAAAGAGCAAGCCAUCUGGUGUUCCUGGUGCUGCAGCUGUGAGCGACCCCCAUUGCCACGGUGGACUGGGAGCCCUCCCAAAUGGUUCCUUCCUCCAGUUGUUUCUACCCGGCAUUUUGUCACAGCAAACAGGGACUGCACUCAGGUCACCAGGCUUGCAUGGGCCUGAUGGAAUAUGUGUGUAAUCCCAGCAGUUGGAAGGCUGAGACAAGAGGAACAUGAUUUCAAGACCAGCCUGGCCUACAUAACAAGUUCAAGUGAGACACAUCUGCUCCUGGCAGCACCAGUUUAGUUCAAAAGAGGAUAAAGAGCAUUGAAGAAACUCCAUAUGGAAUUUACUUUCAUUUGUGGCAAAGUUAGCCACUGGGCAAAGAAACUGCCCUUGCCUUGACUGCUAACAGAAUGCUGUCCAAUUUAGACACGCAGAACACAAAAGAAGGCAAUUGCUGAACUUUGCCAAGACGAGAUAGGACAGUCCUUCAAAUUCCUGCUUCACAGAAAAGUCUGUCAGAUACUCUAGGCCCAGGCUGAAGAUGGAUCCUUCAAAGUAGCAGAGGAACCUUGGGGUGAUUAGAUGUCUCUGUUUCUUAGUUUUGGAAGUUGCUUGCUCUACACUUUCUGUUUAUGCAGGUAAUAUUAUAUCCUUCUCAGGUCUUCAGUGGAGUUAAAGACUAAAUAGUUAUAGUUACAGUUUUCCUUGUUACCAAAUUCAGAAAAGAAACUCACAAAAGACAUAUAAAGUAUAUAAGGUUGAAAGACAUAAAAGCUUAAGUUGUUUAUCUAAGAAAAUAUUUUGAGGUCUAAAAAGAUAGUUUUAGGUUGGUAAUACAAGUUAGUAUAGAAAGUAAAUUAGGUACAAAACUUUUGACUCACCAAGAUAGGAUAGAUAAUGGAAUAUUUUCUCUGAAUUUUCCAAAUACAGAUAGACUGGACAUUGUAAAUGUAAUUCUUACCUGAUAAUUGUUCUUUGUACAUAGUUUUACUAUGUUGGAGUUAAAACCUUUCCUUUUUAUUUAGACAAAAAAGGAGAAAUGUUGUAGGAUAUUUUUUAUACACUGUGUGAAGAUAUAUUGCUGUGAUUGGUUUAAAGAGCUAAAAAACUAAAGAAUAGCUAGUAGCUAGGCAGGGGGGUAUAGGUGGGACUUCUUCCAGGCAGAGAGAGAGAGGGGAAGUAGGAGAUGAAUCUAAGCAUGAGAGAGAUGCCAGAAGAUGAGGAAUAAGUCAGACAUACAGAAAUGGAGAAGAGGUUAAAAAAAAAAAAAACAUGUGGUAGAUGUAGAUUAAUAGAAAUGGGUUAAGUUAUAAGAGCUAGUUGAGAGCAAGCCUAAGCUAAGGCCGAGCUUUCAUAAUUAAUAAGCUGUCUCUGUGUCAUUAUUUGAGAGCUGGCUGGCGGGACAGAGAAAGAUGUGUUACAAAGUAGGGUAGAUGCCAGCCUGGGAGGAAGGAAACAUGGUGGGACCUCUGAAAGGACUGAGUCUCAACAGAGGCUCACUCCUAGGAGUCCUGAGUCUUAAGGCGUCUUGCAAGCUCUGCUCCCGAGAGCCAGAAACCAGCUGUGGAUAGCAAGCUAGAUGGAGAAACUACAAAGCCUAUGAACAACAACAACCAGCCCAGAAAGAUACCCUCAGAGGUGCAAUAGUGUCACAUCUUGGUAGUAACCAACAACUGCCGAAUUGGCUCUGUGGCUUGAUCAACAGGAGGGAAUUCAGACCUGGUCCUAUAAACCUAGCCAACUACCUGUGGCUGGCGAACUCAUGGACGCUAGAAGAGAGCCUACCACAGCCGUUUUCUUAAACCAGUAUACUCUCUAACUGCAUUCUAAAUAUUUGUCCUUGUAUCCACAGGUUAAAUGUAGCUUAGUCCUCAUCAAAGAAGCUUCUUUUUACAGCAGAUGGAGACCAUUACAGAAAUCCACAAAUGUUCAAAAUGCAGAGAACAACUGACUGUGGAUUGCCCACCCCAGCUGACACAUUUAUAAGGCAAUCCCUACACUAAAGACUCAGGAAACAUGGAGUAAGAAGGGGCAAAAAGAUUAUAAGGGUCAGAGGAUCAGGAAGUCUGCUUCUAGAUUGUGUCUUCUAUAUAUGACCGAAAAGCUAUACCCAGGAAAUCUCAACCAUAUGGCUGACUAUACUUUUAAAUAAGAUAAGCAAUGAAAAUUUUUUGUCUGAAUUUGUCAAAUGUUACUGGACUAGACAUUGUUAAUAUAUAUAAUGGAGUUUUUUGUUUGAAUCUGUCAAAUGUUAAUGGACUAGACAUUGUUAAUGUAAUCUUGACUGUGUAUAUUGUAUAUACUUAUUGGAUAUAAUUUUUCUUGUAUUAGUUAUAAGCUUUUUUUAUUUUUAGACAAAAAGGGGGAAAUGUGGUGGUAUUGGGUUCUCCAAAAUAUUGUGCACCCUAAUAAACUUAUCUGGGGUCAGAGAACAGACAGCCACUAAAUACAAAGGCUAGAAAAUGGUGGCACUCACACCUUCAAUCCUAGCAUUCCAGAGACAGAAAUCCCUCUGGAUCUCUGUGAGUUCAAGGCCACAUUGGAAACAGCCAGGCAUGGUGACUCACGCCUUUAAUCCCAGAAAGUGAGCCUUUAAUCCCAGGGAGUGGUGGUAGAAAGCAAAAAGGUUUAUAAGGCGUGAGGACCAGAAACUAGAGGCAUUUGGCUGGUUAAGCAUUUGGCCUGGUUAAGCAUUCAGGCUUUUGAGCAGCAAUUCAGCUGAGACCCAUUCUGGAUGAGGACUCAGAGGCCUCCAGUCUGAGGAAACAAGACCAGCUGAGAAGUUGGCCAGGUGAGGUUGGCUGUGGCUUGUUCUGUCUCUCUGAUCUUCCAGUGUUCAACCCAA
Long non-coding RNA from Peromyscus californicus insignis, 3582 nucleotides. RefSeq lists it as uncharacterized. The transcript is spliced from 9 exons. NCBI's taxonomy places the organism in Eukaryota, Metazoa, Chordata, Mammalia, Rodentia, Cricetidae. The record is from RefSeq and is a predicted model, not a curated record.